AACAUACAGUUAGGCAAUUUCUCCCUGUCCUUAACACACAGUUAGGCAAUUUCUCCCUCUCCUUAACACACAGUUAGGCAAUUUCUCCCUCUCCUUAACACACAGUUAGGCAAUUUCUCCCUCUCCUUAACACACAGUUAGGCAAUUGAAACAUCAUGUGGAUUUAAAUAAUUCUAACAACAGUUUCCUUUUUGUCAAAAAAUUAAUGCU
RNAcentral lists this long non-coding RNA (210 nucleotides) under Mytilus galloprovincialis (Mediterranean mussel). Lineage: Eukaryota; Metazoa; Mollusca; Bivalvia; Mytilida; Mytilidae. The record is from RNAcentral.